GCUGGCGGCGUGCCUAAUACAUGCAAGUAGAACGCUGAAGCUUGGUGCUUGCACCGAGCGGAUGAGUUGCGAACGGGUGAGUAACGCGUAGGUAACCUGCCUGGUAGCGGGGGAUAACUAUUGGAAACGAUAGCUAAUACCGCAUAACAGUAGAUGUUGCAUGACAUUUGCUUGAAAGGGGCAAUUGCUCCACUACCAGAUGGACCUGCGUUGUAUUAGCUAGUUGGUGAGGUAACGGCUCACCAAGGCGACGAUACAUAGCCGACCUGAGAGAGUGAUCGGCCACACUGGGACUGAGACACGGCCCAGACUCCUACGGGAGGCAGCAGUAGGGAAUCUUCGGCAAUGGACGGAAGUCUGACCGAGCAACGCCGCGUGAGUGAAGAAGGUUUUCGGAUCGUAAAGCUCUGUUGUAAGAGAAGAACGAGUGUGAGAGUGGAAAGUUCACACUGUGACGGUAACUUACCAGAAAGGGACGGCUAACUACGUGCCAGCAGCCGCGGUAAUACGUAGGUCCCGAGCGUUAUCCGGAUUUAUUGGGCGUAAAGCGAGCGCAGGCGGUUAGAUAAGUCUGAAGUUAAAGGCUGUGGCUUAACCAUAGUACGCUUUGGAAACUGUUUAACUUGAGUGCAGAAGGGGAGAGUGGAAUUCCAUGUGUAGCGGUGAAAUGCGUAGAUAUAUGGAGGAACACCGGUGGC
RNAcentral lists this ribosomal RNA (698 nucleotides) under uncultured Bacilli bacterium. Its description in RNAcentral is "bacterial SSU rRNA". It matches the Rfam family "Bacterial small subunit ribosomal RNA", at positions 35 to 716 of the family's 1533-position model. Lineage: Bacteria; Bacillati; Bacillota; Bacilli. The record is from RNAcentral.